Molecule: ribosomal RNA, 253 nt
Filed under: uncultured bacterium
Lineage: Bacteria
Description: partial 16S ribosomal RNA
Rfam family: Bacterial small subunit ribosomal RNA
Source: RNAcentral
UACGUAGGUGGCAAGCGUUGUCCGGAUUUACUGGGCGUAAAGAGCGCGCAGGCGGUCGUUCAAGUCGCGUGUGAAAGCCCCCGGCUCAACUGGGGAGGGUCACGCGAUACUGAUCGACUCGAAGGCAGGAGAGGGUAGUGGAAUUCCCGGUGUAGUGGUGAAAUGCGUAGAUAUCGGGAGGAACACCUGUGGCGAAGGCGGCUCGCUGGGCCGGUCCUGACGCUGAGACGCGAAGGCGUGGGGAGCGAACGGG